UACGAAGGGGGCUAGCGUUGUUCGGAAUUACUGGGUGUAAAGCGCACGUAGGCUGAUUGUUAAGUCAGGGGUGAAAUCCCAGAGCUCAACUCCGGAACUGCCUUUGAUACUGGCAAUCUCGAGUCCAGAAGAGGUUAGUGGAAUUCCUAGUGUAGAGGUGAAAUUCGUAGAUAUUAGGGAGAACACCAGUGGCGAAGGCGGCUAACAGGUCCGGUACUGACGCUGAGGUGCGAAAGCGUGGGGAGCAAACAGG
Molecule: ribosomal RNA, 253 nt
Filed under: uncultured bacterium
Lineage: Bacteria
Description: partial 16S ribosomal RNA
Rfam family: Bacterial small subunit ribosomal RNA
Source: RNAcentral